UYAGAUGUUCGGGGCCGCACGCGCGCUACAAUGAAGGGWUCAGCGUGUGUUCUCCCGUUCCGGGAGGAUCGGGUAAACCGUUGAACGCCCUUCGUGACUGGGAUAGGGGCUUGGAACUGUUGCCCUUGAACGAGGAAUUCCUAGUAAGUGCGAGUCACCACCUCGUGCUGAUUACGUCCCUGCCCUUUGUACUCAUCGCCCGUCGCUASUACCGAUYGAACGGUUCAGUGAGGUCAUCGGACUGUUGCUCGGAAACGCCCUCGCGGCCGAUCCGACGCGACGGAAAGACGACCGAACUCSAYCGUUUAGAGGAASUAAAAGUCGUAACAARGUUUCC
RNAcentral lists this ribosomal RNA (337 nucleotides) under Smeringopina tebe. RNAcentral describes it as "partial 18S ribosomal RNA". Lineage: Eukaryota; Metazoa; Arthropoda; Arachnida; Araneae; Pholcidae. The record is from RNAcentral.